CUUCUGGUGAUAACAAUGAAAGAAAAUACCAUUGGUGUUAUGAAAAAGGAUAAUUUCAAUUGCCAGGAUUGAUUAUAAAACAUUAAGACAUUAACAACUUUCAUAAAUUAGUCUAUCUCAUCUUUAUCAUCAAAGUGAAAGUAAUACUCUAAUUUAAUUAAGUUCAAUCAAGAAUUUCUCAAGCAAUUAAACGGUAUAUUUAUACACAUUUGUACGAUAAGGAAGAUGUUACAAUUGUGCUCAAAGAAAAAGAUUCUCAUCAAUCGCCUAGAGGAAUUGGAAAAUUAGUUGCGAAUUUUGAAUGAUAAUCAGAAUUUGAGCGAAAGAAAAACAAAUUGUUACUGUUUAUUGGAAACAGGAAACAAAUGAUUUAGAUAAAGCUCUUAAUUAACAAUUAAUACACAAUAUCGAGUUAUAAUUAGUUAAAAACGUGAAAAGAUCAACCUAAAAUCGACAUGAUUGGAAUUUGAAUUGGACGAAAAAAAAUCGAAUUGAUUAAUUAUUGAUUGUGUCAUAGUCAAUGAAGAAUUAAGAUUAAAAGAAAUUAAUUCCGGAAAUGAUGAUCAUCGGGAAGACAAAAGGAAUCAACAAAACCAAUUAUAAUUAUAAUAUUAAUCUAAUAACAACAAUCACCUUAAAUUGCACCAACUUUAAUCAACUAAAAAACGGAUUACAAUUGUGAUUAAGCGAGACAACGAUUGUUUAAUUACUAAACUAAUGUAAUUGGAAAACUUUUAAUUGUUAUGAUCAACAAUGUAUAUUGAUACAAGUAAUAGUAAUUUGUUGAUCACUAACAACUUUCAAUUGCAAAUGAUUAAGGUUGAAAUUAAUUACCUUCAUUAAUCAGCGUUUUAUCAUAAUCAACAAGAAACAAACAAUCAACAAGGAUAAUCAUCAUGAAAUUAAUCAGUUAAUUAGCGACAACAUUAAUUAGCCUGUUUUAUUUUGGCCUAAAACUGGUGUGAUUGGACAUUUGGAUGGACAUUACUUGCUAUCAACCAGAUAAAUGAUGGACAAUCAACUUUAGAUUGAUAAUUAAGAAGAGAAAAAAGUGAAAAUUCUUGUGCCUGAUUGUUAAUCAAGUUAAUUAUUUCUUCUGAUGGGAACAGGUGAAAACAAUUACAGGGUCAGAUGAGUCGAAAAAUGAAAAUGUUCAAAAAUUCAUUUCGCUUUCUUUACCGAUGCCAAACACCAAACAAUCAAGCCCGAUUGAACAAUUAGAUCAAAUUGUUUUCAACUUCGUUAUGUUUACAAUUAACAUCAUCACCAUUAACCACUAAAAGAAACCACUGACAGACAAACACACACACACAUACACUCACUCAAUCAAACCAAACCAAACAAAAAAAAUUUACUAAUUAAUGGCCAUCAAAUUAACAAUUAAACCAAAUGAACGGACAGAUGAUCAACCAGUUAAUGCACAUAAUCAAAUGGAAAGCUAACCAUUGAAUUAACAAAGAUACAAAAUUGAUAGAAAUCAAUUUGCUCGUCCAACUCGAAUAACAAUUUAAAUCCAAAGGAGUAAAAUUAACUAAUCAACUUCCUGCUAGUUAAAUUAUUGAUCAAUUUAGGCUUCUGCGGAGGAUGUUAAUUGUUAAUCAACGGGAGUAUCUUCACCUUUAUUCAUCCAUAACCAACCAGUACCUUUAUUAUCAACAGCAUAAUUAUUACUCUUCCCUUAAUCAUCAUGAUAAUAAAAUGGAAGUCGCUUCAUCUUCUAUUAGCUGUUAAUCAUCUUAAAUUGUUCCAGUUUAGAUGAAUUUUCUAUUCGCUUCAUUUAUGUCCAAUUCUCUUGAUUGGUUUGAUCGUCAUCGUCUUCGUCGUCGUCUUCUUUACACCCUCGACCUCCGUGCGUUAAUUCACAAUCACACGCUCACGCUCAUACUUAUGGAUUAGUGGAUCAUCCCAGUUAAACUCAUUUCUCAAGGUGAGAAAUGAAUUAAGACAAAAAAGAUCAUUUUUCCAUCUUCUUUUCUCAUCAUGAUCCGUAUCAUCAUUUACAAUUAUUAACUAUUGAUUAACAUUUGUGAUAUACCCAAAAAUGAGACAAAUUGUUAAUCACAAUUUGUCUGAUUGUGAACAAAAUAAUCAAUUUAAUUGGAACGAGAAAAAUCAACAAUCAAUAGGUUUGGUUGUAAACUUGUCUCUUUGUUUUCAUCAUCAUUAUUUUCCCUUCUUGAUUGUUAAUCAAUUGUGAUUAGUUAAUUUAGAUUUUCUCAUAGUCUAAGUUUCUAAAUAAUUGCGAUUCCUGAUGUGAAACUUUGAUUCAUAAUUAACAAUCAAUUUUUCAUUCAUUCAACUAAUUAACUUUGAUAUUGUCUUAAUUGAUAAUUUAAUUACAAUAUUCAUUGAGCAAUUUUUGUCGGUUGUACAAUUUAAAGUAAAUUUACAAAACUGACCUUUUAAUCAAUAAUUAACUUGAUGAAUAUUAAUUGUGACCUGUUGAAGAAAAAUUUUCACUCAAACAAUUAACCAAAUAUGCUAAUCAAAUUGUGAUUACAAGCAAAUACAACGCAGCUAAACAAAAUUAACCUAAUUGAAUUUAAUGAUCAACAAUCAAGUGAUAAAAUUGAUCAACAAAUACAAAACUAAUUAACUUGAAAACUGUUAACAAAAUUUACCUUUAACCAUCAACCGAUUGGAAUAACAAAUUAGAUUCAAAUUAUUGACAAUCAAAUCUCACCUAAUUGUCAUUAUCUAUAUAUAUUGACUAUUAUGGUUUACCGUUAAUUGUAACUUAAUUGUUGAGAAAAUUAAAUUUAAAUCACUUACCUGGAGG
Long non-coding RNA from Panonychus citri (citrus red mite), 2779 nucleotides. RefSeq lists it as uncharacterized. The record is from RefSeq and is a predicted model, not a curated record. Lineage: Eukaryota; Metazoa; Arthropoda; Arachnida; Trombidiformes; Tetranychidae. The transcript is spliced from 4 exons.